UUCUCUGCUGUUAGUCAUAGGAUGUUGCAGACCUAUUUUGCAUACUGGCCUUGACAAGUUGAGGCUUGUUCAUUUGACACAGUCCUGUGGUCACAGCAAAUCUUUCUAAAACUCUAACCAGUGGAAAAGGUACUUGUGUGGAUCCUCUGAACCCUGAGUGGAACUUCCUGAAAGAUUUACUUGGAGAAAAACCUUGGAAGCAGCAGAAGGACAAACAGAAUGGCUGGCUGGGCAAAGCCUCCUGGCCCGGUCUCCACGACUGGAGGGCAGUUACAUCUUAGAGGCCUGAUCUUUGGACCAGAAAGGAAUGAAAAAGUUGCCCCUUACGAUGGCUGUGCCUUGUCAGUUGCUUGAAGCUGCAUUCAGGGAUUUCCUGAGCCUUAUGGAUUUACAGUGACAUUCAGCUGCCCAAGAAUGACGGCGGAGGAAGCAUGGUCUGGAAUCACACGCACUGGCCACACGUUUGGAUGUUAAUGGCAGUUUUCAAGAAGACCAUGGCUGAGUGCCUGGCAGAUCCCCCUAUGGGGGACAGAGGACCGCGGCUUCCUGUGAUGCCUGGGAUCUCUGCCCUGUGUCUGCAUAAGCGUUGGCUUGGGUCGUGACCAGCCUCACUGAGGGUUCCUUUGAAACAAUCCCAUCAUGCCUUGGAUUUUGGUGCUGUCAGUCUGAAAAGCAGACGUACCCGUCUGGUACUCUAGAGGGAAUGUCCUUUCCUGAAUGAAAAAGCUGGGCCAUUUGGGGAUUUGGAGAAUAAAGCCCUCCCGACACCCACCUGAUAUGACUGUGGAUGUUGUAAGAACAAAGGAAUGAGUAACUCACAAGGAGGAAGGAGAAAGUAAGAGAGAGAACACCCAAAGAAGAAAGUUCUUAAAGACUUAGAGCAAAGAAUGAGCCUACGCUCCGGAUCCAGGUAGCCGACUUCAGAAGCGGGAGUACAGCGAAAGUGCCUCAGUCUCUUGUGGGAUCACCCUUUUCCCCGGAGCACCUGGCAUUAGGGCUGGAACAAGAUGCCCUCACUGGGAAUGCAGACAAGGGUCGAUGGGACUCUAGUCAUUGGCGGGACGAGCUGCGAGCUGGGAGCACCAUCUCUUGCUGCCGCAGCCGUGAACAUGAACGGUGUCGCCUUCAUUCUGUGAAUGGAAGAGCGGCCUGACCCAUCAUCUGUCUGGGGGUGACGGGAAAGGAGCGUCCCCAGAAUUUAGCUGCCGGGAGUAGGCACAUGAAACAGGGGUGGGUGCUGAGCUUCCGAGGAGCGGCGUGGUGAACACCCCGGCAGGGCUGGUCUCUGCUGGGGCCUCCGAGGAAGGUGUGCACCCUGUGCUGGUGCGUGUGGUUCUGGCCGCCCGAGGACACCGUCGUUCCGCCGGGGGCCUGUCUGCCCACACCCCUGCCGUCUGUGAGCCUGGGUCCUGGAACAGAGGUUGUCAGGCUGUGAUUUUAGCGGCGUCCUGAGCUCCUAUGGAGAUUUGCCUCUCUCCAGCCUUGGGCUAUCUGCAUUCCUGAACAUCUCUGGGCCCAGAAGGAAAAGGAGAAUGCUGACCAGCUCUGGGAAUGGCCUGAAUGAGGAGAGGCGAGAGAACUGCUCAGACAUGUUAAGUAACUCAGCAGAGGUCACACAGCUAAGGGACACAGAGGAACGUAUCAAGUAGUGAAGGCCAUUUUCCAUCACUGCUGUCCUCCACGAGCUUAUGUCUGGAAUGGGAGGCAUCUUUGCACCAAUGAACGGGUUGGAUGGAGCCCAGAAAACACUUGACACAGGUAGCAUUGACCCAGAGAGAAGUGAAUCCUUGUGUCCAGUGACUAGAAGACACGCGAACCUGGAACAAGGAGCCCAGGAGGUUGCUGUGCUUCCCCCACAUAGGAGAGCACCCACCCCCUCCUGCCCCUCGCCUGUAACACAUGAUACAUUUAGCAGUGAUUUGGUCACUGCUGAGCUGUCUUCAUUUCAUGUGAUUUUGACAGCAGAGUCGGUCUGGAAAUUGUAUUUUCAAUUAAACCCCCUUGUUGAGCCGCUUUGGUUUUGAAAGGAUCCCAUUAGGGUGGAUAAUUAUACAGCAGUUGCUAUAGGGAGAUAUUUGCCUCAAUUUCCGCUCUUAGGUGAUUCAAAUCAAAUGUUAUUUCUUUUCCUUCUCGGAGCUGUGUGUGACCAUUUUCCUCAUACUAUAGGCUUCUCAUGAGUUAUUUUUGGAAAUCCAAAGCAAAACAGCCGUUUUGGCGGAGGCCGUUUCUAGCCUAGCAGAGUAAGCCAUAUGUACCAAUAAACACAGCCAAAGAGUCCGUGUCUUUCAAAAACACCAAAACCAUCUCCCUCUGUGGGGGUUAAAUUCUUGGGGACCACAGACUGUCCUUUGUAUCAUCCUGUAUUCCUUUGUGAACUCUAGUUAACUGAAGUCAAAGACAAUUGAAAAUCCUUUAAAAUUUGGCACCCCUGGGGGGCUCAGUUGAGCAUCUGACUCUUGGCUUCGGCUCAGGUCAUGGUCUCGGGGUCGUGGGAAGGAGCCCCACACGAGGCUCCGCCCUCAGCGCUGAGUCUGCUUGGGGUUCUCCUUCUCCCUCCCGCUGCUCCUCCCCCUGCUCACAUGCUCUCUCUUUCAGACAGAAUAAAUUAAAAAAAUAUAUAGAUAGAUAGAUAUUUAUCAAAGUUCUGUCCAUUUGCGAACAAUUGUCAUUGCCCUUUUGUUCAAGAUCGCAGGCCUUGACAGAAUUUUACUGGGGACAGUCUGGUCUCUGGUCUCCCAUGAAACACAGAAAUCCCUAUAUUUUCCCACUCCCUACUGUUUCCUUCCCUCCCCAGAACACACGUAACCUACCUCAUUACGUGACUGAAGCAGACACAUCUUCCUCUCACCCAGUAGCAGUAAGUGUGCAAAUAGUAGGAUGGAUACAAAGAUGAAUGAAUAAAAUCCCAUUUUCCUCUUAAAAAAAAAAAAAAAAAAAAAAAAAAAAAAAACUUGGGGUGCCUGGGUGGCUCAGUGGUUAAAGCCUCUGCCUUCGGCUCAGGUCAUGAUCUCAGGGUUCUGGGAUCGAGCCCUGCAUCAGGCUCUCUGCUCAGCGGGGAGCCUGCUUCCCCUUCUCUCUCUGCCUGCUGCUCUGCCUACUUGUGAUCUCUCUCUUUGUCAAAUAAAUAAAUAAAAUCUCAAAAAAAAAAAGUUUAUUACGCAAAUAGUAAAUGAAUGUUUUUCACCUGGGGAGGGUGCUUUCCAAAUAAAGCUAAGUUCUUUUUAAUCACUGGGUCCCUAUCCUGGUUUGUUCAUCAGCUCUGCUUGGGUUAUUUGGAACACAACCUUGUAGACUUUUCUAAUGUACUUUCAUGCACACGCGCAUGUACACACACACAAGUGGGCGCAUGCGUGCCCAGGCACAGGGUGCUGUUAUUUAGACCUUUGAUAAACUAAUUACUUGCUUUUCUCCCCUUAGCAACAGAUCCUGGAGUUCUUUUUUAACUGCCACCGAAUUUUAUCCCAUUGUGUGGGUAUACCUUUUAUUCGAUCAAAUACCUAUAAUGCAUUUCAUGAAAAUCAGCCAGCUGCCUUGGAGAUGAUGCCAAACCAGUUGACAGAAUCCUGGGAAAUGCUGAGGAUUGCCAGAGGGACCUGAAUCGCCUUGUCUGUGGAAACAAGGGAGAUGUACUGUGCCUGGGAAAUGCCACAGGUCUCCAGAGAGAGUGAUGUUAGAUAUCGCGUUGGCUCUGCUCAUAGUCAUCUGACGUUCUUUGAUCAAGUCAAUUCCUCUCCGCGGACCCUUAUUUUCUCAUCUGCACAAUGGACUCAGUAAGCCUUUUCCAUUACUGGACUCUGAAUAAUGGGAUUUACACAAAGCCCCAGGUUUCUUACACAGAAUGGAUGAGCCCACCCUUCACUAUGGGUCCAGAUGGGAGAGGGGCAAUUUUAGGAUAUAUUUUAAAUUUAAUUUUAUUGAAUUAAGUAUGUUUUGUAUAUUUUAAUUGAAAUAUGUAUAUUUUAAUUUUUUUUUAAGAUUUUAUUUAUUUAUUUGACAGAGAGAGAUCACAAGUAGGCAGAGAGGCAGGCAGAGAGAGAGGAGGAAGCAGGCUCCCUGCUGAGCAGAGAACCCGAUGCGGGACUCGAUCCCAGGACCCUGAGACCAUGACCUGAGCCGAAGGCAGAGGCUUUAACCCUCUGAGCCACCCAGGCGCCCCGUAUAUUUUAAUUUUUAAAGAUUGUUUUAUUUAUUUAUUAUACAGAGAGAAUGAGUGAGAGCCCAGGAGUGGCGGCCCAGAGGGAGAAGCAAACUCUCCCCGCUGAGGAGGGAUCCUGACUCAGGGUCGAUCCCAGGAAAUUGGGGUCAUGAGCUGAAGGCAGACAAACUUGUAACCAACUGAGCCACCCAGGCACCCCAAAAUAUAUUUUAAAUUUUUUAACUGGAGAUGCAGCCCAGAGCUCUUAGCUGGGUAGAAGUCACGAAGUCCAGAAUGUACCACCUUUGGGUCUUACUCUUAUUACUUUAUUAUCCAACUAAAAUGUAUAUAUUUUCUUUUUCUUUUGCUCUGUGCGAGCUUUCUGUUCUAAGCAAGGCCAUGCGGUGUUGAAAAAAGAAGUCAUAGACCUCCAGUUCUUACAGGCUUCUGUAGUUCCAGCUGUGUGGUCUUAGACAAGUCACAAACCUCUGGAUGUCCAACAGUUCAUACUACGAUUUCAAAUUAGUCAAAUAUCUGCUUAAAAAAAAAAAAAGUAAAAAUCACACCCACGUGUGUUUCAUCUGGCAUUUCUGAGCCUUGUCACCUGUAGAUAGUUCAUCUUGCGACUUGAUGGGACACCCUAAAAGGCCACCAAAACCCCUGAAAUCACCUUUCCCAUGAGAAGUGUGCAGCUGCCCUAGUCCCCAGUGAAGACCUUCAGUGGGUUUCCAGGGAGGCCUAGCGAAGGUUCUGCGAAGCCAUGAUUCAUAGGUAGACUUCCCCUCACCCCCCGAACCCCAGAGCUCGUGUUGUUGUGUAACCCCUGCUUUGAGACCCAGGACCACACGGGUCCCAGGGUGAUUCACACACAGGCUGGGUUUCCCUCGGGGUCCCAGUCAGGUUUUUCCCACGUGGGGCGAGAAUUCUGGCCCCUGGCCUUGGCAUUACACAUUGGUCUGGAGAUAGUGCAGUCGUGCAGGUGAAAGGUCGUGGUCAGUGGGUGUGAAAACUGCGUGGGUGCUGUAGCCCCACAGAGUUUCUGGGGUUCAGUUUCCCUGCUCCCCACACUUUUUCACCCUCCUGUGAGCUUCUGUAUCUGAACAUCCCUUGGGGUCAGUGUUCCUGGUUGUGCAGGUCUGUACGGGCUGAAGACAGUCUGGGCAGCUCCCCCACCGCGAGCUCCUGAGGCCAGGAGCAUCACCUUGCCGGAUCCUGCUCCGUCUUGAAGAGAUGAAAUAGGAUUGCAGCAGGUGUUCAGUCCAAGCUACCAUCCCUCCCCUUCCCCUGGAAAACAACUUUAUAUGCUCUGAGUCUGUAACAGUUUCCAAAAGCCUGCCAUAAAUAUUGUUCACGUGACCCAAAAUGAAACAAAAAGGCAUCCUUGUGAAUGGAGAGAAUAGCAUCAGCAUGAUGCGUAUCUUUACUUCGUGGGAAAAGGGACUGAUGGGUCCUAUUCAUUUAUCUACCCUCACUCAUCCGGGAGUACUUUUCAGCAGGUGUCUUCCCUGUCCCCCAUCCCCAUUUCAAUAAAACACUUACAAACCUGCUUUGCAUUGUUACAGAUAAAUGUAGAGCGAGUCACAGUGUGCCUUCCUACACUUGACCCCCCUCCAAGUGAUCAAUAUAGUUUUAAUUCACAGCCUGGAAACUUUAAGAAUGAGUCAACCUGACCUAUGAUUCACAGAUACUUGAUCUGAAAUGCUUGAUGUUGAGGGGGUGGGGUGGGAGGUAGAAUCAGAAAUAAGUUUCCUGACUCUAAAAAUCAGCAUAAGGGAAAAAGCAUGGGGUUCAGGAGGGUGGGGGCAGGGGGUAGUUAUCAUCUUAUAGUUUGUAGGAAUGGUCCCUGCCUUUGGGGAGACACCUUGUGUUGGGAGGACUUAGGGUGACCACAGAGCUCCCGUUUAUGCCUGUCUAUGCAGUUAGUGUGCUUUUCCACCAUUAAAAGUAUUGCAGUGUGGAAACAUAAAUAAAGGUCAGAGGUUUUACUUUACUCAUACGUGUAUCCCCAGUGCCUGGCCUCUAGUAAACAGUUAGUAAAUACAGCCUUGCUGGGUAGGUGAGUGAGUAAAGAGUUUUAACCUUCUCUCUUGAUCCCCGUAUUUCUUUUUUUCAUAUGUCUUUGUAUGCUCCGUACCCCUAGGGUGACUGUACUAUGUUCUCAACAGUAUCUUUUCGAUUAAGCCAGAGAUCCAGAUACCAGUCGCUUUGGUUGAAUGUAUGCAACAGGAGCUGUGUAGCCUUGUGACUUGCAGGGAGUUACCCAAAUGAUUUACAAUUUAUCCAAAUACAAAGAACACUAACUUCCCUGCCUGCAGCACUACUCAGUUCUGGUGGAACUGGAGCUGGUGCAUUUAGGAUUAGCUGUCUGGCUUUGCUACCAUUCUUGUCAUUCUCUUCCUUAGCUAGGGGGUCAUAGACCUUCAAAAAUACAUGUUAUAAAUAUAUAUUUAAAAUAUUAUAAGAGGGACGCCUGGGUGGCUCAGUUGGUUAAGCGGCUGCCUUCGGCUCAGGUCAUGAUCCCAGCGUCCUGGGAUCGAGUCCCACAUCGGGCUCCUUGCUUGGCACGGAGCCUGCUUCUCCCUCUGCCUCUGCCUGCCACUCUGUCUGCCUGUGCUUGCUCUCGCUUCUCUAUGACAAAUAAAUAAAAUAAAAAAUCUUUAAAAAAAAAAUAAAAUAUUAUAAGAAAUGGGAAAAGAAAUUUUAAAAAGCUAUCCAUAAUCUUAUGACGCUCCAUGGCAUCAGAGCAAUUACGUUAUCAAAGGACUAGAAACCAUUUGUGUUGUUUUACAUAGUUAUCCUAAGAAGCUGUUCACUGUUUCCCCAUGGGCAUUUUUCUGGAAGCACUGUCCAUGUUCAGAGCAGUUUCAGCUGCCGUUGUUUAGUUUGCUUGUAUCUAUGUACUUGCUAGCGAGCAAUUCCAGGUUGCUUACUCUUUUCUCCUUCUAUAAAUGAACCUGUCCUUCUAAUAUGUCCUGUUUCUCAGGAUAAUCUCAGAAGUACAAUCCUCUGAUCAAAAUAUAUGAAAUUUAUUUAAAAAUUAUAUCUAUCUAACAAUAUAGAGAUAUUUAAUAGACUUUAUUUUUAGGGAAAUAAUAGGUUUAUUUAAAAAAAUUGAGAAGAAAGUAUAGAGCUAUAUACCAAACGCCCUCACCACCAUUUCCCAUAUUGUUAACAUCUGACACUUGUGUGAUACAUUUGUUACAAGUUAUGAAACAACACAUUAUGAUUAAAGUCCAUACUUUAUAUUCAGGGUCCACUCUUUCUGUUGUAUCAUUCUGUGGAUUUUUGACACCUGCAAAAUGUCGUUUACCCACCAUUAUAUUAUCACACAGCAUAGCUGCACCAUCCUAACAAUCCUGUGUUCCACCAAUUUAUCUGUCCCUAAUUCCUCCCAAACUCCUAGAAACCUCACUGAUCUUUUACUGUCACCAUAGUUUUGCCUUUUCCAGAAUGUCUUAUGGUUAGAAUCACAUAGUAUGUCAUCUUUUCUGUUUGGUUUCUUUCACUUAGUAUCAUGUAUGUAAGACCCCUCCAUGUCUUUGUAUGCCUUGAUAAUUCAUAUCUUUUUAGUGCUGAAUAAUUUCCAUUACCUGAGCGUACCCUGGUUUGCUUAUUCAUUCACCUACUAAAGGGCAUCUUGGUUGCCUCCAAGUAUUAGCAAUUACAAAUAAAGCUGGUGUAAAGUGUG
Molecule: long non-coding RNA, 7823 nt
Organism: Mustela lutreola (European mink)
Lineage: Eukaryota; Metazoa; Chordata; Mammalia; Carnivora; Mustelidae
Exons: 9
Source: RefSeq, a predicted model, not a curated record